Molecule: ribosomal RNA, 244 nt
Filed under: uncultured bacterium
Lineage: Bacteria
Description: partial 16S ribosomal RNA
Rfam family: Bacterial small subunit ribosomal RNA
Source: RNAcentral
GUGGCAAGCGUUGUCCGGAUUUAUUGGGCGUAAAGCGAGUGCAGGCGGUUCAAAAAGUCUGAUGUGAAAGCCUUCCGCCCAAACGGAGGAUUGCAUCAGAAACUGUUGAACUUGAGUGCAGAAGAGGAGAGUGGAACUCCAUGUGUAGCGGUGGAAUGCGUAGAUAUAUGGAAGAACACCAGUGGCGAAGGCGGCUCUCUGGUCUGCAACUGACGCUGAGGCUCGAAAGCAUGGGUAGCGAACA